Molecule: ribosomal RNA, 965 nt
Filed under: Salmonella enterica subsp. enterica serovar Johannesburg
Lineage: Bacteria; Pseudomonadati; Pseudomonadota; Gammaproteobacteria; Enterobacterales; Enterobacteriaceae
Description: bacterial SSU rRNA
Rfam family: Bacterial small subunit ribosomal RNA
Source: RNAcentral
CACGCAGGCGGUCUGUCAAGUCGGAUGUGAAAUCCCCGGGCUCAACCUGGGAACUGCAUUCGAAACUGGCAGGCUUGAGUCUUGUAGAGGGGGGUAGAAUUCCAGGUGUAGCGGUGAAAUGCGUAGAGAUCUGGAGGAAUACCGGUGGCGAAGGCGGCCCCCUGGACAAAGACUGACGCUCAGGUGCGAAAGCGUGGGGAGCAAACAGGAUUAGAUACCCUGGUAGUCCACGCCGUAAACGAUGUCUACUUGGAGGUUGUGCCCUUGAGGCGUGGCUUCCGGAGCUAACGCGUUAAGUAGACCGCCUGGGGAGUACGGCCGCAAGGUUAAAACUCAAAUGAAUUGACGGGGGCCCGCACAAGCGGUGGAGCAUGUGGUUUAAUUCGAUGCAACGCGAAGAACCUUACCUGGUCUUGACAUCCACGGAAGAAUUCAGAGAUGGAUUUGUGCCUUCGGGAACCGUGAGACAGGUGCUGCAUGGCUGUCGUCAGCUCGUGUUGUGAAAUGUUGGGUUAAGUCCCGCAACGAGCGCAACCCUUAUCCUUUGUUGCCAGCGGUCCGGCCGGGAACUCAAAGGAGACUGCCAGUGAUAAACUGGAGGAAGGUGGGGAUGACGUCAAGUCAUCAUGGCCCUUACGACCAGGGCUACACACGUGCUACAAUGGCGCAUACAAAGAGAAGCGACCUCGCGAGAGCAAGCGGACCUCAUAAAGUGCGUCGUAGUCCGGAUUGGAGUCUGCAACUCGACUCCAUGAAGUCGGAAUCGCUAGUAAUCGUGGAUCAGAAUGCCACGGUGAAUACGUUCCCGGGCCUUGUACACACCGCCCGUCACACCAUGGGAGUGGGUUGCAAAAGAAGUAGGUAGCUUAACCUUCGGGAGGGCGCUUACCACUUUGUGAUUCAUGACUGGGGUGAAGUCGUAACAAGGUAACCGUAGGGGAACCUGCGGUUGGAUCACCUCCUUA